This is a long non-coding RNA of Cyprinus carpio (common carp), 696 nucleotides long. RefSeq lists it as uncharacterized. Lineage: Eukaryota; Metazoa; Chordata; Actinopteri; Cypriniformes; Cyprinidae. The record is from RefSeq and is a predicted model, not a curated record.
GCAGUCAACACCUUCCACUCCGUUUAUGGCGCAGUGUACAGAGAGCAUUGACAACGUAUCUUUCAUGCUGAGCCACGAACAAACAAAAAGACCAGAAUACAGCGUCGCUAAAGCCUCGAGAUCAGAUCGAUUAUAUAUAGGACAGCGAUGACACUGUUGAUCUCUGUGAGGAGAUGCUGCAGAUCUCCAUGUUCAUGUUAGUGAAGGAGCUCCCGGCCUCACUGCCGCAUUCUGGGUAUGAAGAGCUGGAGGAUAUGAUGUUCUUCAGCCUGUGGAGAGCGAUGAUCAGCAGGGUAAGCAGGAAGAGCAGCAAGCUGAGGAAGAUGGAGACGUAGACGUAAACAUUGGCAGUCCGUCCGUAUGAGGCAGCGGCCGCCCCGGUAGAAACAGAGGCAACCUGCCUAUCAGUGGGCUCGUAAGCUGGUGCGGGUUGUUGAUAGGCCACUGCCGGUCCAUUAGGACUUUGGGGUGGUCACAUCGGCUCAGUGGUACACACAGAAGAGAGUCUGGAGCGGACUGGCAUAUGGAUGGAGCUUUGGAUGCAUGCGGUGGGGCAGGGCUAUGCAUGUCAAUAGGACCGAGGCGUCAUGCCUCCUGGGAAGGUCUUAUCUCUUCUGCUCUGUGCACUGAAGACACGGAACACAGCUUAUGGAUCGAUGCAAAGCAAAGCAUGACUGUCGCUUCUAUUAUUUGGUA